This 253-nucleotide ribosomal RNA is filed under the name uncultured bacterium. RNAcentral's name for it is "partial 16S ribosomal RNA". It matches the Rfam family "Bacterial small subunit ribosomal RNA", at positions 524 to 776 of the family's 1533-position model. The record is from RNAcentral.
UACGGAGGGUGCGAGCGUUGCUCGGAAUCACUGGGCGUAAAGCGUACGCAGGCGGCUCUGCAAGUCGGGUGUGAAAGCCCGGGGCUCAACCCCGGAACUGCGCCCGAGACUGCAGAGCUUGAAUGCGGGAGAGGGAAGCGGAAUUCCUGGUGUAGAGGUGAAAUUCGUAGAUAUCAGGAGGAACACCAGUGGCGAAAGCGGCUUCCUGGCCCGACAUUGACGCUCAUGUACGAAAGCGCGGGGAGCAAACAGG